This 73-nucleotide transfer RNA is filed under the name Trichonephila clavata. It matches the Rfam family "tRNA". Rfam says of the family: Transfer RNA (tRNA) molecules are approximately 80 nucleotides in length. Their secondary structure includes four short double-helical elements and three loops (D, anti-codon, and T loops). Lineage: Eukaryota; Metazoa; Arthropoda; Arachnida; Araneae; Nephilidae. The record is from Rfam by way of RNAcentral.
GUCCCUGUAGCGCAAUGAAUAGCGCGUUGGACUUCUAAUCCAAAGGUCGUGAGUUCGAAUCCUACCAGGGAUG